UGCUGUAAUGGGAAUUUGAGCCACUGG
RNAcentral lists this non-coding RNA (27 nucleotides) under Homo sapiens (human). Lineage: Eukaryota; Metazoa; Chordata; Mammalia; Primates; Hominidae. The record is from RNAcentral.